GAGUUGCGAACGGGUGAGUAACGCGUAGGUAACCUACCUAUUAGAGGGGGAUAACUAUUGGAAACGAUAGCUAAUACCGCAUAACAGUAUGUAACACAUGUUAGAUGCUUGAAAGAUGCAAUUGCAUCGCUAGUAGAUGGACCUGCGUUGUAUUAGCUAGUAGGUAGGGUAAUGGCCUACCUAGGCAACGAUACAUAGCCGACCUGAGAGGGUGAUCGGCCACACUGGGACUGAGACACGGCCCAGACUCC
This 251-nucleotide ribosomal RNA is filed under the name uncultured Streptococcus sp. RNAcentral describes it as "partial 16S ribosomal RNA". It matches the Rfam family "Bacterial small subunit ribosomal RNA", at positions 93 to 339 of the family's 1533-position model. The record is from RNAcentral. Lineage: Bacteria; Bacillati; Bacillota; Bacilli; Lactobacillales; Streptococcaceae.